RNAcentral lists this ribosomal RNA (419 nucleotides) under bacterium. Its description in RNAcentral is "partial 16S ribosomal RNA". It matches the Rfam family "Bacterial small subunit ribosomal RNA", at positions 355 to 776 of the family's 1533-position model. The record is from RNAcentral.
UGGGGGAUAUUGCACAAUGGGCGAAAGCCUGAUGCAGCGACGCCGCGUGGGGGAUGAAGGCCUUCGGGUUGUAAACUUCUUUUGCUCUGAACAAGGCAUGCUAAUGGGUGUGUUGAGUGUAGGGGUUGAUUAGCGCCGGCUAACUACGUGCCAGCAGCCGCAGUAAUACGUAGGGCGCGAGCGUUGUCCGGAAUUAUUGGGCGUAAAGGGCUUGUAGGUGGCUGGUUGCGUCUGUCGUGAAAGCUCAUGGCUUAACUGUGGGUUUGCGGUGGGUACGGGCUGGCUUGAGUGCAGUAGGGGAGGCUGGAAUUCCUGGUGUAGCGGUGGAAUGCGCAGAUAUCAGGAGGAAUACCGGUGGCGAAGGCGGGUCUCUGGGCUGUUACUGACACUGAGGAGCGAAAGCAUGGGGAGCGAACAGG